This is a long non-coding RNA of Alexandromys fortis (reed vole), 526 nucleotides long. RefSeq lists it as uncharacterized. Lineage: Eukaryota; Metazoa; Chordata; Mammalia; Rodentia; Cricetidae. The transcript is spliced from 5 exons. The record is from RefSeq and is a predicted model, not a curated record.
AAUUAAUGCUGCAUUAUGACAAGGCAUCCAGUCAAGUCAGAACCUUCAUUCAACAACUGAUGGAAGCAGAGGCAGAGAUCUACAGCGGAGCAGUGGGCUGACCUCCUGGAGUGCAGUCAUAGAGAAGGAGGAGCGAUGUUAUGAACAAAAGGACCAAGACCAUGAUGGGGAAACCCACAGAAACAACUGACCUGAACAAGUGAAACUGAGUGGCGCCAUCUGGGCCAACAGCUAUAGCAAUCGUACUUAAUCUCCAUCAGUGACAGAUGGCUAAGAUAACGCUGACCCAGAUGACGGCUCAGGCUGCACUGCCUCGGAAUUCUGGUUUGAGGCAACAGACAUGCAGAUACGACGAUGGCUUUUCCAAACGUAACAGGAAGUGUCUGUACAAAAACCCAACAAGCAGAACCAUCUAGUGGAGAGAGCCUAGAUCUUGGGGUCAGAAAGGCCUGAAGUCAAAUUGCCACUUGACCACUAGCUGCCAUUAUAAACUCUAAUUGAGCAUGCACAAGUCCUACACUCCAGG